This 376-nucleotide ribosomal RNA is filed under the name Strombidium sp. RNAcentral describes it as "partial small subunit ribosomal RNA". It matches the Rfam family "Eukaryotic small subunit ribosomal RNA", at positions 582 to 975 of the family's 1831-position model. Lineage: Eukaryota; Ciliophora; Spirotrichea; Strombidiidae. The record is from RNAcentral.
AUUCCAGCUCCAAUAGCGUAUAUUAAAGUUGUUGCAGUUAAAAAGCUCGUAGUUGGACUUCUGGCAGGGCGCCGCGUGCCACAGUAGUGCGCACAAGGGCCCGGCCAUCCUUCUGUAAACGUCGGGGAAGUUUAUUCGUCCGCGGCGGGAUCAGUUAAUUUACCUUGAGAAAAUUAGAGUGUUUCAGGCAGGCGUAGCCGGAAUACAUUAGCAUGGAAUAAUGGAAUAGGACUUAGUCUCUUUGUUGGUUCGAGGGACUGGAGUAAUGAUUAAUAGGGAUAGUUGGGGGCAUUAGUAUUUAUUAGCUAGAGGUGGAAUUCUCUAAUUUGAUAAAGACUAACUUAUGCGAAAGCAUUUGCCAAGGAUGUUUUCAUCA